AUGCAGAAGUGGGCCCCCGCCGACCCCUCCGCGCCCGCGCCCGCCCCCUCCCCGGGCCACGCGCCCUCGACCUCCAUCGACCGCAUCGUCCACCGCCUCCGCAACCUCGGCCUCGGCACCGACGACGACGAGCCCUCCUCCUCCCCCGCCGACGCCCCGCUCGACGGCAGGGAGCGCCUCGGCGACCUGCUCGACCGCAGCUGGGCGCGCCCCGACCGCCAGUUCGCCGCCUCCGGCCUCGACGAGGCCGUCCUCCCGUGGGAGAGGGACCGGGAGAGCGACGGCGAGGAGGCGGACGGGGUCAAGAGGAAGCGGGUCAGGGCGCCCUCCCUUGCGGAGCUCACCAUGGACGACGUGGAGCUGCGCCGCCUGCGGGGCAUGGGCAUGACCCUCAAGGACCGCAUCACCGUGCCCAAGGCCGGGGUCACGCAGGCCAUCACGGAGAAGAUCCACGACGCCUGGAGGAAGUCGGAGCUGGUCCGCCUCAAGUUCCACGAGGACCUCGCCAACGACAUGAAGACUGCCCAUGAGCUUGUCGAGAGACGAACAGGAGGAUUGAUCAUAUGGAGGGCAGGGAGUGUCAUGGUUGUCUAUCGCGGGAGCAAUUACACGAGGCCUCUGAAAUCUCAACCUUUGGACGGUACCUCGUCACUGAGGAAGGGUGAAGAUAGUACAUUGUUCAUCCCCGAUGGCUCGAGCACUGCUGAGAGUGAUAAUCAGGGGAAGGAUCUAACUGCUCAACAUGAUAAUGCACCCAUAUUGGAUCUGCACAAUACAGAGGACAUGACGGAAGAAGAGCUGGAGUUCAAUCAAAUGCUUGAUGAGCUGGGCCCUCGUUUCGUGGAUUGGUGGGGAACAGGAAUUUUACCUGUGGAUGCCGACUUGCUGCCUCAAACAAUUCCAGGUUAUAAAGCGCCAUUUAGAGUUCUUCCAACUGGAAUGCGUACAAGCCUUACCAACUCAGAGCUCACUAAUUUGCGAAAGUUAGCAAGGAACCUCCCUUGUCAUUUUGCUCUAGGGAGAAACCGGAAUCAUCAAGGCUUGGCCGCGGCUAUUGUUAAGCUUUGGGAGAAGAGUUUGGUGGUGAAAAUAGCUGUCAAACGUGGAAUCCAGAACACAAAUAAUAAGCUGAUGUCAGACGAAAUAAAGAAUCUAACAGGGGGUACCCUGCUUCUUCGAAAUAAAUAUUACAUUGUAAUAUAUCGUGGAAAAGACUUCCUCCCAACGUCUGUUGCUGCUGCCUUGGCUGAAAGAGAGGAGUUGACAAAAGAUAUCCAGAAUCUAGAGGAGCAGAGAAGAUCCAUUUCCAUUGAACACUCUCCGGAGGAUGGUUUUGAUGGGCAUGCUCUCGUAGGAACUCUUGCUGAAUUUCAGGAGGCGCAAGCCCGUUGGGGAAGAAAUGUAACUUCUAAGGAGCAACAAGAGAUGAAAGAAGCGUCUUUUAGAUCAGAAAAGGAAAAGCUUUUCAGAAGACUCGAACACAAGCUUUCCAUUGCUCAAGCAAAAAUACAUAAAGCAGGGAAGUUAUUAUCAAAGAUUGAAGCUUCUAUGGUCCUUGCAAACCCAUCCGAUGACCGAGAAAUGAUCACAGCCGAGGAGAGAUCUGUUUUCCGUAGAAUUGGUCUGAAAAUGAAAGCAUAUUUGCCUGUUGGAAUCCGUGGUGUCUUUGAUGGCGUCAUUGAAAAUAUGCACUUGCACUGGAAGCACAGGGAAGUUGUCAAAUUGAUUACAAAGCAAAAGACCUUGGCGUUUGUUGAGGAGACAGCACGACUUCUAGAGUAUGAGAGUGGCGGUAUACUAGUUGCAAUCGAAAGAGUCCCCAAGGGUCACGCACUUAUUUUUUACCGUGGAAAGAAUUACAGGAGGCCUAUUAACAUAAGGCCUAGAAAUCUCUUAACAAAGGCUAAGGCAUUGAAACGUGCAGUUGCAAUGCAACGCCAUGAAGCCCUCAGCCAGCAUAUAGAUCAACUGGAAUUCAAUAUGAAGCAAAUGAAGCGUGAUUUGGGCAUGGAGGACUACGAUGAAGAGGCCGAGGAUGCGUCAGAUUCAGAAAGUGAAGACGAUACAGCGGGCUAUGAUGAGGGUAUGGAGGACUAUGAUAAAGAGGAAGAGGAUGAAUCGGAUUCAGAAGAUGAAGACAACUAG
Molecule: ribosomal RNA, 2145 nt
Filed under: Triticum aestivum (bread wheat)
Lineage: Eukaryota; Viridiplantae; Streptophyta; Magnoliopsida; Poales; Poaceae
Description: partial small subunit ribosomal RNA
Source: RNAcentral